Molecule: ribosomal RNA, 497 nt
Filed under: uncultured bacterium
Lineage: Bacteria
Description: partial 16S ribosomal RNA
Rfam family: Bacterial small subunit ribosomal RNA
Source: RNAcentral
GAUGAACGCUGGCGGCGUGCCUAAUACAUGCAAGUCGAGCGAACAGACGAGGAGCUUGCUCCUCUGACGUUAGCGGCGGACGGGUGAGUAACACGUGGAUAACCUACCUAUAAGACUGGGAUAACUUCAGGAAACCUGAGCUAAUACCGGAUAAGAUAUUGAACCGCAUGGUUCAAUAGUGAAAGACGGUUUUGCUGUCACUUAUAGAUGGAUCCGCGCCGCAUUAGCUAGUUGGUAAGGUAACGGCCUACCAAGGCGACGAUGCGUAGCCGACCUGAGAGGGUGAUCGGCCACACUGGAACUGAGACACGGUCCAGACUCCUACGGGAGGCAGCAGUAGGGAAUCUUCCGCAAUGGGCGAAAGCCUGACGGAGCAACGCCGCGUGAGUGAUGAAGGUCUUCGGAUCGUAAAACUCUGUUAUUAGGGAAGAACAAAUGUGUAAGUAACUAUGCACGUUUUGACGGUACCUAAUCAGAAAGCAACGGCUAACUACGUG